This 473-nucleotide ribosomal RNA is filed under the name uncultured bacterium. RNAcentral's name for it is "bacterial SSU rRNA". It matches the Rfam family "Bacterial small subunit ribosomal RNA", at positions 30 to 520 of the family's 1533-position model. The record is from RNAcentral.
AUUGAACGCUGGCGGCAUGCUUUACACAUGCAAGUCGAGGGGCAGCACGUCUUCGGAUGGUGGCGACCGGCGCACGGGUGCGUAACGCGUAUGCAACCUACCUCUUACAGUGGGAUAGCCCAGAGAAAUUUGGAUUAAUACCGCAUAGUAUACAGAUUCAGCAUUGGGACUGUAUUAAACAUUUAUGGGUAAGAGAUGGGCAUGCGUUCUAUUAGUUAGUUGGAGUGGUAACGGCACCCCAAGACAGCGAUAGAUAGGGGCCCUGAGAGGGGGAUCCCCCACACUGGUACUGAGACACGGACCAGACUCCUACGGGAGGCAGCAGUGAGGAAUAUUGGACAAUGGGCGAGAGCCUGAUCCAGCCAUGCCGCGUGCAGGAAGACGGCCCUAGGGUUGUAAAGCUCUUUCAGCUGGGAAGAUAAUGACGGUACCAGCAGAAGAAGCCCCGGCUAACUCCGUGCCAGCAGCCGCGG